RNAcentral lists this ribosomal RNA (247 nucleotides) under uncultured Sporosalibacterium sp. RNAcentral's name for it is "partial 16S ribosomal RNA". It matches the Rfam family "Bacterial small subunit ribosomal RNA", at positions 796 to 1041 of the family's 1533-position model. The record is from RNAcentral. Lineage: Bacteria; Bacillati; Bacillota; Tissierellia; Tissierellales; Thermohalobacteraceae.
CACGCCGUAAACGAUGAGUACUAGGUGUUGGGGUCGACAGGCUUCAGUGCCGCAGUUAACACAUUAAGUACUCCGCCUGGGGAGUACGGUCGCAAGACUGAAACUCAAAGGAAUUGACGGGGGCCCGCACAAGCAGCGGAGCAUGUGGUUUAAUUCGAAGCAACGCGAAGAACCUUACCAGGGCUUGACAUCUCUCAGACAGUCUUAGAGAUAAGGCCUUCCCUUCGGGGACUGAGAUGACAGGUGG